GAUGAACGCUGGCGGCGUGCCUAACACAUGCAAGUCGAGCGAGAAGUUUGAAAAAUGAGUUUUCGAACAAGUGAUUCAAACGGAAAGCGGCGGACGGGUGAGUAACGCGUAGGCAACCUGCCCCGUGCAGAGGGACAGCCUCGGGAAACCGGGAUUAAGACCUCAUGAUAUCGGGUUAUCACAUGGUAAUCCGGUCAAAGAUUUAUCGGCAUGGGAUGGGCCUGCGUCUGAUUAGCUGGUUGGUGGGGUAACGGCCUACCAAGGCGACGAUCAGUAGCAGAACUGAGAGGUUCAUCUGCCACAUUGGAACUGAGACACGGUCCAAACUCCUACGGGAGGCAGCAGUGAGGAAUAUUGCACAAUGGGCGAAAGCCUGAUGCAGCAACGCCGCGUGAGCGAAGAAGGCCUUUGGGUCGUAAAGCUCUGUCCUUGGGGAAGAAACAAAUGACGGUACCCUUGGAGGAAGCCCCGGCUAACUACGUGCCAGCAGCCGCGGUAAAACGUA
Molecule: ribosomal RNA, 505 nt
Filed under: uncultured bacterium
Lineage: Bacteria
Description: bacterial SSU rRNA
Rfam family: Bacterial small subunit ribosomal RNA
Source: RNAcentral